CUGUUUCCAAGUGCUCUACAACACUACUUGUGAAUUUGCUCAUGAAAUUGAGGAGGAGAGUGGUUGGAAUCUAGCAUUACCUCAUUUGAGCAAAGCGGUAGCCUAGCUAGGCCUUUCCCCCUGUUUUUUUUUCGCUUUGUUGUUUUGUUUAAUUUGAUGUACCUUUACAUAUAUAUUUUAUGGUUGAACUUGAAAUUAUUUGUUCGACUCUUAGUGGGCAGAUUUCUGUAAAGCAUUAUUAGUAGAGGCAGAGUGGUACAGCAGGAGCUACACACCAUCCCUUGAAGAAUACCUCAGUAAUGGAUGCAUUUCAUCAUCAGUUUCAGUCCUUAUGGUUCAUACAUUUUUCUCCACAACCCAUCGUGACGGAAUCAAAGAGAUUGCUGAUUUUCUGCACAAGAAUGAAGAUCUUGUGCAUAACAUAUCUCUGAUAGUUCGGCUCACCAAUGAUUUGGGAACUUCCACUGUAACUUUUCUUUCUUUAUUAAUUCUUCUUCUUAAUGAAACACGGCGAAAUCUAACCAAAUUGCUAUAGUGUUUUAUUAGUUUUUACAGCCUACUUCCAUAGUUUAAUUAAUUAAUGAAUUGGUUAACAGGCUGAACAAGAGAGAGGCGAUGCUCCUUCAGCAAUCAUAUGUUACAUGCGAGAGAUGAAUGCUUCUGAAGAUAUAGCUGAGGCGAAGAUUAAGGGCAUGAUAGACAAUGCGUGGAAGAAAAUAAAUGGGACAUGCUUGAGAACCCCACAACAAUUGCCUUUUCUCUCACCAUUCAUCAACAACAUUGCCACAAAUAUUGCGCGAAUGGCGCACAGCCUUUACCAAGCUGGAGAUGGAUUUGGUGAUCAAGAACAAGGCUCUCAGCUGAUCCAGUCUGUGCUAGUUGAGCCUUUACCACUUUGAAGAGUUGCAAUCUAGAGAGUCAUCGGUAGUGUUUAAUAAGCAUUCUGUAAGAAUACAUCCAUUGUAAGGUGAGCUUCUGUUGAAAGCACUAUUGCAUCAUCUACAGUUUAAAUUUAGAAAAUAAAAUUAUUAGUUUUAUCUUUUC
Molecule: long non-coding RNA, 1044 nt
Filed under: Prunus dulcis (almond)
Lineage: Eukaryota; Viridiplantae; Streptophyta; Magnoliopsida; Rosales; Rosaceae
Description: sRNA ncRNA
Source: RNAcentral